GAUGAACGCUGGCGGCGUGCCUAAUACAUGCAAGUCGAACGCUGGAACUCUAGGUUGCUAGAUUGAAGGAGUGGCGAACGGGUGAGUAAAACAUAAGCAACCUACCCACGAAGAAUGGGAUAAUCUCUGGAAACGGGGACUAAUACCGGAUAGGUAAUCGGAAGGCAUCUUCUGAUUAUUAAAGGUUAAAAUCACUGGUGGAUGGGCUUAUGGCGCAUUAGUUAGUUGGUGAGGUAACGGCCCACCAAGACGAUGAUGCGUAGCCGGCCGGAGGGGGGGAAAGGCCGCAAUUGAGACAGGGCCACGACCAGGACGCUAAGGGAGGGAAGAGAAUGGUACGGUAGGCAAGAGGGGGAAACCUGACCGAGCAGCGCCGCGUAUGAGAUGACGGCCUUCGGGUUGUAAAGCUCUGUUGUAAGGGAAGAACGGUAGAUAGAGAAUAUCAAAAUGACGGUACCUUACCAGAAAGCCACGGCUAACUACGUG
This 486-nucleotide ribosomal RNA is filed under the name uncultured bacterium. Its description in RNAcentral is "partial 16S ribosomal RNA". It matches the Rfam family "Bacterial small subunit ribosomal RNA", at positions 28 to 507 of the family's 1533-position model. The record is from RNAcentral.